RNAcentral lists this ribosomal RNA (550 nucleotides) under uncultured bacterium. RNAcentral describes it as "bacterial SSU rRNA". It matches the Rfam family "Bacterial small subunit ribosomal RNA", at positions 355 to 896 of the family's 1533-position model. The record is from RNAcentral.
UAGGGAAUCUUCGGCAAUGGACGGAAGUCUGACCGAGCAACGCCGCGUGAGUGAAGAAGGUUUUCGGAUCGUAAAGCUCUGUUGUAAGAGAAGAACGAGUGUGAGAGUGGAAAGUUCACACUGUGACGGUAUCUUACCAGAAAGGGACGGCUAACUACGUGCCAGCAGCCGCGGUAAUACGUAGGUCCCGAGCGUUAUCCGGAUUUAUUGGGCGUAAAGCGAGCGCAGGCGGUUAGAUAAGUCUGAAGUUAAAGGCUGUGGCUUAACCAUAGUACGCUUUGGAAACUGUUUAACUUGAGUGCAGAAGGGGAGAGUGGAAUUCCAUGUGUAGCGGUGAAAUGCGUAGAUAUAUGGAGGAACACCGGUGGCGAAAGCGGCUCUCUGGUCUGUAACUGACGCUGAGGCUCGAAAGCGUGGGGAGCGAACAGGAUUAGAUACCCUGGUAGUCCACGCCGUAAACGAUGAGUGCUAGGUGUUAGGCCCUUUCCGGGGCUUAGUGCCGCAGCUAACGCAUUAAGCACUCCGCCUGGGGAGUACGACCGCAAGGUUG